Molecule: long non-coding RNA, 415 nt
Organism: Rhagoletis zephyria (snowberry fruit fly)
Lineage: Eukaryota; Metazoa; Arthropoda; Insecta; Diptera; Tephritidae
Source: RefSeq, a predicted model, not a curated record
AAUUUUUCGAGAAGCAUACUCGCAGUUGGCUGCGUCAGUUCCACUUUGACGGCUGUGGGAAAAAUUUGGUACAUUUGAAGCGCGAAAUUUUCUCUAUUUUAGUGAAAUAGCAGCCUAGACAUACAGCAAAGUGCAAAACCUGCAUAAAAUAAUUAAAUACAAUUGCUACAGUUCUAAAACGACGGCGUAAGCACACAGUUGCAAAUAAAAUAAGUUAAUAAACGCAAAGUUGUGCGUGUGGCGUGAAAGAAGUGUGCUUUGGUGCUGCUGCGUUUUGUUUUGAAGACCUUAUUUCUCUGGAUUUCAUUAGCAGCGCUGAAAACAGCUUUUUAAAUACUAAUGUAUGGAAAUAUGAAUAAUGGUGGCCACGCGCCAUACGGAUACAAUGGUUAUAGACCGAGCCAACUAAAAUCAA